Long non-coding RNA from Cebus imitator (Panamanian white-faced capuchin), 1582 nucleotides. Lineage: Eukaryota; Metazoa; Chordata; Mammalia; Primates; Cebidae. The record is from Ensembl.
CUCAUUAUCCGGGCUUUUCCAACCACCACCAUGCGCCCUGGCUCCUCCCACCAGCCCCGCCCCUCUCAGCUCUGCCCUCUCUGGCUCACCUAGCUCCGAAACGCGCCUCCCCCCUCCGCAGCCACAGGCGCUGCCAUCCCCAUUUCACAGAUGAGAAUGGCGAGGCUGGGAUAGAUUAGUCUUAUGGCUUGUACCAGGCGGGGUAGGAAGACUGGAUUUUGCAGUGGAAGCAGCAUCUCUUCCAUCUGGGACCCGGCGGAGGGCGUCUCCACCUUGGGGGGGAGCAGAGCACCCGCCCUGACCUAGCCGGGCUCAGCCUCGUCCAGCCCGGCCUGAGCGCCCCGCCCAGCAGCCGGCUCGGAGGCAGGGCCCACUGGGGUCUGGGAGCGCGGGCGCCAUGGACAAGAUCCUGGAGGCGGUGGUGACGUCGUCGUACCCGGUCAGCGUGAAGCAGGGGCUGGUGAGGCGCGUGCUGGAGGCGGCGCGGCAGCCGCUGGAGCGUGAGCAGUGCCUGGCGCUGCUGGCGCUGGGCGCGCGCCUCUACGUGGGCGGCGCGGAGGAGCUGCCGCGCCGCGUGGGCUGCCAGCUGCUGCACGUGGCCGGCCGCCACCACCCCGACGUCUUCGCCGAGUUCUUCAGCGCGCGCCGCGUGCUGCGCCUGCUGCAGGGUGGCGCCGGUCCCCCGGGCCCCCGCGCGCUCGCCUGCGUGCAGCUGGGCCUGCAGCUGCUGCCCGAGGGGCCCGCGGCCGACGAGGUGUUUGCGCUGCUGCGGCGUGAGGUGCUGCGCACAGUGUGUGAGCGCCCGGGGCCCGCGGCCUGCGCGCAGGUGGCACGGCUGCUGGCGCGCCACCAGCGCUGUGUGCCCGACGGCCCGCACCGCCUGCUCUUCUGCCAGCAGCUGGUGCGUUGCCUCGGCCGCUUCCGCUGCCCAGCCGAAGGCGAGGAGGGCGCCGUGGAGUUCCUGGAGCAGGCCCAGCAGGUGAGCGGGCUCCUGGCUCAGCUGUGGCGAGCCCAGCCCGCUGCUAUCCUGCCCUGUCUCAAAGAGCUGUUCGCAGUCAUCUCCUGCACAGAGGAGGAGCCGCCAUCUAGCGCCCUGGCCAGCGUAGUCCAGCACCUCCCAUUGGAGCUCAUGGACGGCGUUGUCCGGAACCUCAGCAAUGAUGACAGUGUAACAGACUCGCAGAUGCUCACCGCCAUCAGCAGGAUGAUUGACUGGGUGUCCUGGCCCCUGGGGAAGAACAUUGACAAGUGGAUCAUUGCACUGCUGAAGGGCCUGGCUGCUGUUAAGAAGUUCAGCAUCUUGAUCGAGGUUUCGCUCACCAAAAUUGAGAAGGUUUUCUCUAAGCUGCUAUACCCCAUCGUCCGGGGAGCUGCCUUGUCUGUGCUCAAGUACAUGCUCCUGACCUUCCAGCACUCUCACGAGGCCUUCCACCUGGUAAGGGCUCCUGCCUGCUGCCCCUGGGCUCUUGAGGGAGGUCACAUGGCUGAGGCCAAACAGCUGGGAGGUGGGUUCCAGCCUCGCUUUGGCUGUGGGGAGAGAAGUAGUUAUCCUAUUUGGGAGAUGAAGAAACUCAGGCAGGAU